GGGAAAUGUGGUCCAAAAGCUGAGCACAGUCAUUGAGAAUCAGAACCAGCAGCUCCGCCUGCUGCUGCAGCUGUUGUCUCACUCAACAUCUCGCUUUUGAGUCAGUGGCUGUGGCGCCAGGAAGACAUCUACAUGAAGAGGACGGGUCGGAUGAUAUGCCUGAAUAUGUCUGAACUUCUUCAUCCUUUUUUCCUGAUCAACAAACAUUUAUAAAAAAUACUGAUGUCCUUUAUAUAUAGUCAGCAAUCUUUCAUCAUAUCUUUAAAUAUAUUAAUCUCCUGUAUUUUAAACGCACAAUUUAUGAUACCAAAGGUUUGUCUCCAAGCAGAAUAAAAGCAUAACGCUUAAAAAGACAUCAAGGCAGGGUGAUGAUGACUGCUGGAAGAUUUAAACUGUUCAAAUAUGCUUUAUUACAUAUUUUAUUAUUGGUGAAUCAAUAAAGAUGAUCUUGAAUGGUGAA
This is a long non-coding RNA of Morone saxatilis (striped sea-bass), 460 nucleotides long. RefSeq lists it as uncharacterized. The transcript has 2 exons. The record is from RefSeq and is a predicted model, not a curated record. Lineage: Eukaryota; Metazoa; Chordata; Actinopteri; Moronidae.